GUUUUCUAAGCGUGUUCUGCAAACACUGAGUUUUGAUUCCACCCACACACAAAAAAAAUGACAAUUGAAGUGUUCAUCCACUGCCUUGUUCAAGGGGCAGAAUGACAGAUUUCUACCUUGUCAGCUCGGGGAUUCGAUCUAGCAACCUUUCGGUUACUAGUCCAAUGCUUUAACCACUAGGCUACCUGCCACCCCAAUGCUACUUACAGUAUGAGAGGGUUCAUUGGUUUUCCAGCAUAUGUUACAGGGUUCAAGACAUUGUUUUAUUUUCAUUGAUUUGUUUACUAAUGAAGGCUUACAACAGUUCUGGACUCACUACCAGAACAUGUACUUAGAAUGUACUAAUUGGCCUCAUUAAGUAUAUAUUUCUGUUAUGAAUCUCUAUUUUCUUGCUUUUUAUUUUUUAACUACCAAUAUUUUUAUCUGGUAACUAUACUGUGACGUAUCUUCUUGACAUGUGAAGUCUUAAACUGUUAGUUUUGAUCAAUUAUGUUUUUGUAUUUUACCUUUUAUUUUUUAAAUAGCCAGUUAUCUUUUUUUUUUUUUUUCUCAAAACAAUUUUUUCUGAGUAUUGACAUUUUAGACACUGGUGUAUAACUGCCGUCAAACUUAACCAAACAUUUUUAUAUUUCAAUUUCUGCAUAUUUAUUUGUUUUAUCUGUUGGAGUGUACAACAACCAUAUUUUUCUCACUCACAAAGUGAAAAUAUUGUUUUCUCGAUUUUUUUUUUAAAAGGUUAUUUUGUUGCUACAAGGCAGAAUAUCAAUAAACCACCAACUCAAACUCGGCUUGUUCUUGAUUGGAUGACUCCUAGAGCUUCUAGCUCCAUUCAGAUACCUGGCAGCAGGUUAUCUUGCUUUAGUUUAGUGUGAUUUUAUUCCGUUGUAGUUCAUUGUCCCCCUAGCUUGAGGAGACUUUGAUGGACUAAUCUGUUUAACAGACACAAAAUACAGUGAUCACAGUGGUAUUGACCAAUCCGCUUCGACAUCAGUGGUAUUGACCAAUCCGCUUCGACAUCAGUGGUAUUGACCAAUCCGCUUCGACAUCAGUGGUAUUGACCAAUCCGCUUCGACAUCAGUGGUAUUGACCAAUCCGCUUCGACAUCAGUGGUAUUGACCAAUCCGCUUCGACAUCAGUGGUAUUGACCAAUCCGCUUCGGCAUCAGUGGUAUUGACCAAUCCGCUUCGGCAUCAGUGGUAUUGACCAAUCCGCUUCAACGGGGGGAGUGUUAUUUUCUCAAUCGAUGGCUUUCUCCCACUGCUAUGUCAAUGAGUCAUAGUUUGGUUGUUCCUUUUCUAAAUGUCUCUUAUCUCCUGAUUUCUGAGUGGCAGAAUGUAAUGUGUAUAUCAAUUUCACCUUUAUUUAACCAGGCAGGCCAGUUGAGAACACCUUUAUUUAACCAGGCAGGCCAGUUGAGAACACGUUCUCAUGUGACCUGGCCAAGAUAAAGCAAAAGCAGUGUGACACAAACAACAACAGAGUUACACCUGGAAUAAACAAACGUACAGUCAAUAACACAAUAGAAAAAGUCUAUAUACAGUGUGUGCAAAUGGCAUGAGGAGGUAGGAAUAGAUUACAGGUAUUACAGGUACACAACCAUAGUGUUUCUAUUGUAUUGUCUAAUGCUCAGGUCGUUUUACAGGUAGCCGACCAACAAGUGUUUGAAAACACAACCAUAGUGUUUAUUUAAUUGUCUUAACGUUCAG
Molecule: long non-coding RNA, 1706 nt
Organism: Oncorhynchus tshawytscha (Chinook salmon)
Lineage: Eukaryota; Metazoa; Chordata; Actinopteri; Salmoniformes; Salmonidae
Source: Ensembl